Molecule: RNA transcript, 2362 nt
Organism: Nomascus leucogenys (northern white-cheeked gibbon)
Lineage: Eukaryota; Metazoa; Chordata; Mammalia; Primates; Hylobatidae
Gene: BOD1
Gene name: biorientation of chromosomes in cell division 1
Exons: 5
Source: RefSeq, a predicted model, not a curated record
ACAGGCCGUUUCUGCCGCGUCCACCACCACAUCUGCUGUACCACAGGGGGCCUUCGCCGCCGCCGCCGCCCCCACCACCACCCCCGCCGCCAUCGCCACCGCCGCCGCCACCACCACCACCGUCACCUCCGCCGCUGCCUCCUUCGCCACCUCUACACAUUUCAGGCCUUCUGUCCUGGAAAAGAAGCUACAGUCGGUCUCCCUUGUGGGCCCGGGGCGCAGCCAUGGCGGACGGCGGCGGCGGCGGGGGAACUGGCGCGGUGGGCGGCGGCGGAACGGGCCAGGCCUCUGCCGGGGCAGCGACUGGCGCUACUGGGGCCAGCGGGGGCGGUGGCCCCAUCAACCCGGCCUCGCUGCCUCCUGGCGACCCGCAGCUCAUCGCUCUCAUCGUGGAGCAGCUCAAGAGCCGGGGCCUUUUUGACAGCUUCCGCCGGGACUGCCUGGCCGACGUGGACACCAAGCCAGCUUACCAAAACCUGAGGCAGAAAGUGGAUAAUUUUGUGUCAACACAUCUGGACAAGCAGGAAUGGAAUCCUACAAUGAACAAAAACCAAUUGCGAAAUGGUCUGAGGCAGAGUGUGGUUCAGUCAGGCAUGUUGGAAGCUGGAGUAGACAGGAUUAUUUCUCAGGUGGUGGAUCCAAAACUUAACCACAUCUUCAGGCCACAAAUAGAACGAGCAAUUCAUGAGUUCCUGGCGGCCCAGAAAAAAGCAGCUGUGCCAGCACCCCCUCCAGAGCCCGAAGGCCAGGACCCUCCAGCUCCGUCUCAGGACACUUCCUAAGAAUAUGCCGGACACCUUUUGAAAGCUAAUUUUUGGUGAAGAAAUGGAUUCAGUUACGUAAGAGUGCAACUUCAGACUGAAGAUAGGCCAAGGUUGUCACUGAUCUCAAGAUUUCAACCUUGACCAUGGGCAGUGACCACAUUAAAAGGGGAGCAAGUUCGGCAGUGGGAGAGUUGACCGUGUCACCCCCUGCAUUGUGCUGCCAUUUGGCCAGCCUGUCCGAGGGCAUGACACCAAGUAGACACUACAGAGAGAGAAACACUACAGCAACCCAGGGUUGUCCUGAAACAGACUUUUAUACUCGAACAUGGAGACUACGCAUGGACUUUAGGGUUUGUGCUGUGGGAUAAACGGAAGCUACAGUGAGAACAUAGCCAGUCCCAAAGACAAUUUCAAAGAACAAUGACAGUAAAGGUUAGCUGGGAGUAGUCUUUGACAGUGCUUAUUUGAUACUGUCUCUCAGAGUUCGCAAACCGGAUUGUACAAGUCAUUAGCGUCAGAUAGCUUUAAAGUUGUGACCUUCUUGUACAUGAAUCUUCUAGCCAGUUUCCUUUCCUUUGUAAUAAGUAACGAAACAUGAAAUCCUAGAAUGUGUGAGAAGUUCAGACAUUAGGCAUAAGGAAACUCGUUUGCAGGCUCUCUGUCCAGGGCUGCUUCCUGUCCUGGAGGGGCCAGUGAGUCUUAGCUCCUGAAGGGCAAGACUAGUAUGUCAUUGAAAAAAAUUCUUCCAUAGUCCCUUGGAAGUGCCCGGAACAAGAGGAGAAUCAAAUAUGGGUGAGUACUAGAAGUCUAUCUUAGCCUUUCUGACUGCCAAAUAUAUGGUGUAUUUUCCCCACAAAGAUACUCAUCCUGCCCCAUGGAAGAUGAUGCCAAAAUACCAUCUAGUCACUGCAUCCAACCCAAGGUUCAGGACAUCUGUACAGUGGGGACUAGGCAGCUCCUCGGUUAGACCUAAGAAAACUCAGGUUGUCUGCCCAACAUCCCACCUGAUAAGCAACAGGAAUAAUUAGAACAGGGAGGAAUGAGAAACCUUGCCGUUCCUGGCCCAUAGCAAUUCCAAAAUCCCAGUAGGCAGCUGCUGUGAGGCCACUUCACCUAGGCUGGCAGAUGUUGCCUGUUUAGGACUGGGUUCCAUUCUUUAGCAGGGGUCUCCCCAUUCCAUUGUCCUCUGUGGCCUCUGGCUUCACCCUCUGCUAGGUUCCUUCAUUUCCAUUAUCCUCCCUUUCCAUCCUCCUUUUCAGCCACACCCAAAAGAGACAUGCAAGAAUUUGUUUGACAUUGUGCAGCCUUCUCAAUCCUCAUCCUCCAGGAGAUUGGAGACCCAAGGAAUAUUUUAAGUUUUCAACAGAAACUUCUGGAAACCGGGCUCGUGAGUUUGUUUUGUUUUUGGCAGAAUGAGCUUCACAAAUGUAGUAGGAAUUUUAACCUGGUUGAUUCCAAUCAGUAACAUGGGCCAGAAGCCACACUCAGUUCUUUUUUGUGACUCAGUUCUCAAAUCUGCUGUAUUUCUUCACUCCCUUACCCUAUGCCUCUCUAGAUUUAAACUUUGAGUCUAGAUUUAAACCUGUGGGGCUUCUGUG